This 245-nucleotide ribosomal RNA is filed under the name uncultured bacterium. RNAcentral's name for it is "partial 16S ribosomal RNA". It matches the Rfam family "Bacterial small subunit ribosomal RNA", at positions 524 to 768 of the family's 1533-position model. The record is from RNAcentral.
UACGUAUGGGGCGAGCGUUGUUCGGAGUUAUUGGGCGUAAAGGGCGUGUAGGCGGCUCACUGCGUCUGGUGUGAAAUCGCAGGGCUUAACCCUGCGUAGGCGCUGGAAACGGGUGGGCUUGAGUUCCUGAGGGGAAGCUGGAAUUCCAGGUGUAGGGGUGAAAUCUGUAGAUAUCUGGAAGAACACCGGUGGCGAAGGCGAGCUUCUAUCAGAGGACUGACGCUGAGGCGCGAAAGCGUGGGGAG